CCUACGGGUGGCAGCAGUGGGGAAUAUUGGACAAUGGGCGAAAGCCUGAUCCAGCCAUGCCGCGUGUGUGAAGAAGGCCUUCGGGUUGUAAAGCACUUUCAGUGGGGAAGAAAGCCUUGGGGCUAAUACCCUCGAGGAAGGACAUCACCCACAGAAGAAGCACCGGCUAACUCCGUGCCAGCAGCCGCGGUAAUACGGAGGGUGCGAGCGUUAAUCGGAAUUACUGGGCGUAAAGCGCGCGUAGGCGGUCUGAUAAGCCGGUUGUGAAAGCCCCGGGCUCAACCUGGGAACGGCAUCCGGAACUGUCAGGCUAGAGUGCAGGAGAGGAAGGUAGAAUUCCCGGUGUAGCGGUGAAAUGCGUAGAGAUCGGGAGGAAUACCAGUGGCGAAGGCGGCCUUCUGGACUGACACUGACGCUGAGGUGCGAAAGCGUGGGUAGCCAACAGGAUUAGAUACCCUAGUAGUC
Molecule: ribosomal RNA, 465 nt
Filed under: Vreelandella stevensii
Lineage: Bacteria; Pseudomonadati; Pseudomonadota; Gammaproteobacteria; Oceanospirillales; Halomonadaceae
Description: partial 16S ribosomal RNA
Rfam family: Bacterial small subunit ribosomal RNA
Source: RNAcentral